Molecule: ribosomal RNA, 497 nt
Filed under: uncultured bacterium
Lineage: Bacteria
Description: partial 16S ribosomal RNA
Rfam family: Bacterial small subunit ribosomal RNA
Source: RNAcentral
GAUGAACGCUGGCGGCGUGCCUAAUACAUGCAAGUCGAGCGAACAGACGAGGAGCUUGCUCCUCUGACGUUAGCGGCGGACGGGUGAGUAACACGUGGAUAACCUACCUAUAAGACUGGGAUAACUUCGGGAAACCGGAGCUAAUACCGGAUAACAUGUUGAACCGCAUGGUUCAACAGUGAAAGACGGUCUUGCUGUCACUUAUAGAUGGAUCCGCGCCGCAUUAGCUAGUUGGUAAGGUAACGGCUUACCAAGGCAACGAUGCGUAGCCGACCUGAGAGGGUGAUCGGCCACACUGGAACUGAGACACGGUCCAGACUCCUACGGGAGGCAGCAGUAGGGAAUCUUCCGCAAAGGGCGAAAGCCUGACGGAGCAACGCCGCGUGAGUGAAGAAGGUCUUCUGAUCGUAAAACUCUGUUAUUAGGGAAGAACAAAUGUGUAAGUAACUAUGCACGUCUUGACGGUACCUAAUCAGAAAGCCACGGCUAACUACGUG